GUGCUCACUUUAGCAGCACAUAUACUGAAGUUAGAAUGAUACAGAGAAGAGCAUGGCCCUGUGCAAGGACAACACAAGAUAUUAACCUCCAUCACGUGUUU
Cavia porcellus (domestic guinea pig) is the source of this 101-nucleotide small nuclear RNA. Lineage: Eukaryota; Metazoa; Chordata; Mammalia; Rodentia; Caviidae. The record is from Ensembl.